RNAcentral lists this ribosomal RNA (253 nucleotides) under uncultured bacterium. RNAcentral describes it as "partial 16S ribosomal RNA". It matches the Rfam family "Bacterial small subunit ribosomal RNA", at positions 524 to 776 of the family's 1533-position model. The record is from RNAcentral.
UACGUAGGGGGCAAGCGUUGUCCGGAUUUACUGGGCGUAAAGAGCGCGCAGGCGGUCGGAUCAGUCGAAUGUGAAAGCCCCCGGCUCAACUGGGGAGGGUCAUUCGAUACUGUCCGACUCGAAGGCAGGAGAGGGAAGCGGAAUUCCCGGUGUAGUGGUGAAAUGCGUAGAGAUCGGCAGGAACACCAGUGGCGAAGGCGGCCACCUAGCCCGCACCUGACGCUGAGGCGCGACAGCGUGGGGAGCGAACUGG